UACGUAGGUGGCAAGCGUUGUCCGGAAUUAUUGGGCGUAAAGCGCGCGCAGGCGGCCUCUUAAGUCUGAUGUGAAAGCCCCCGGCUCAACCGGGGAGGGCCAUUGGAAACUGGGAGGCUUGAGUAUAGGAGAGAAGAGUGGAAUUCCACGUGUAGCGGUGAAAUGCGAUAGAGAUGUGGAGGAACACCAGUGGCGAAGGCGACUCUUUGGCCUAUAACUGACGCUGAGGCGCGAAAGCGUGGGGAGCAAACAGG
Molecule: ribosomal RNA, 254 nt
Filed under: uncultured bacterium
Lineage: Bacteria
Description: partial 16S ribosomal RNA
Rfam family: Bacterial small subunit ribosomal RNA
Source: RNAcentral